AAGGAUUGGGUUUUUAGGGUUUUGUUUUGUGAGUCCUUGUUCUGUUAUUUUGUACACCUCUCUACUGCCUCCAUUGAUAAUCAUAUGGCUUAGAGUUGGUUUGUUUAGUUGAGUUGUAAUCUCUUCAAAUUGUUGUUUGAUCAUGAGAUCUAUCUUUCAAUCUCUUGUAAGGGAUCUGUCACUGUGGCAGUGAUCAUUAGGAGUUAGGGGAAGUUUCCUCAUAGCUUAGAGGAGAAGGGCUAAGCUAGAUUCACUUAUGUAAUAGUGGUAGACAUUGAAGAGGCUCUAUACUAAGGGGGAGUACUUAGGUAUAGGAGGGACUUUCAUGUGACCUGAGAGCUAUUAUUUGAUAGUGAAUUGACUCCUGGAUUGGUAUCCUCCAGAUGUAGGUGAUGUUGCACCGAACUGGG
RNAcentral lists this long non-coding RNA (410 nucleotides) under Lotus japonicus. Its description in RNAcentral is "long non-coding RNA (LJAP_LNC002036)". The record is from RNAcentral. Lineage: Eukaryota; Viridiplantae; Streptophyta; Magnoliopsida; Fabales; Fabaceae.